RNAcentral lists this ribosomal RNA (709 nucleotides) under Henriettella tuberculosa. RNAcentral describes it as "eukaryotic LSU rRNA". The stretch from base 284 to 439 matches the Rfam family "5.8S ribosomal RNA". Lineage: Eukaryota; Viridiplantae; Streptophyta; Magnoliopsida; Myrtales; Melastomataceae. The record is from RNAcentral.
AGGUGAACCUGCGGAAGGAUCAUUGUGGAAAUCGAACGGAAGAAUGACCCGCGAAAUCGUCAUCGCGUACCAGAGAGAGCUCGUGAGCGCCCGACGCUCGUGCGGCUCGCGUCGUGUCGGCGUGGACGUACUCGAGACCCGCGUCGUAUCGACGAACGAACAACGUCAGCACGGAUCGUGCCAAGGAGCUGCAUGGAGGGAAUCGUUGUCCCCCGCCUCCGACUGUCUUCGACGCGGGGACGGGAGGCAGGGGGAUAUACGCGGUCUCUACUCAAGUCUAAAUGACUCUCGGCAACGGAUAUCUCGGCUCUUGCAUCGAUGAAGAACGUAGCGAAAUGCGAUACUUGGUGUGAAUUGCAGAAUCCCGCGAACCAUCAAUUCUUUGAACGCAAGUUGCGCCCGAAGCCAAUCGGCCGAGGGCACGCCUGCCUGGGCGUCGUGAAUCCCCUUGCCCCUCGGCUCCCGUUUUCUUGCACGCGCAUCGACGGGGAUAUGCCGGGGCGCASAGUGUGGUCUCCCGUGGGAUCGGCAUGCACGGCAUGUCGAGGUGCGGUUGGCCGAAAUUCGAGCAUGGCGGUGACGGGCACCGCGGCGUCCGGUGGAUCGAACGAGAUUGGCUGCGCCGCGGUCUCGGCAUGCUGCGGGCUCCGGACUUUGACAAUCCCCGAGUGCGAUCCCAGGUCAGGCGGGACUACCCGCUGAGUUUAAG